UACGUAGGGUGCGAGCGUUAAUCGGAAUUACUGGGCGUAAAGUGUGCGCAGGCGGCAAAGCAAGUCGAGUGUGAAAGCCCCGGGCUUAACCUGGGAAUUGCGCUUGGGACUGGUUGGCUUGAGUUCGGGAGAGGAGAGUGGAAUUCCCAGUGUAGAGGUGAAAUUCGUAGAUAUUGGGAAGAACACCAGUGGCGAAGGCGACUUACUGGACAUGUAUUGACGCUGAGGUGCGAAAGCGUGGGGAGCAAACAGG
Molecule: ribosomal RNA, 253 nt
Filed under: uncultured bacterium
Lineage: Bacteria
Description: partial 16S ribosomal RNA
Rfam family: Bacterial small subunit ribosomal RNA
Source: RNAcentral